Molecule: ribosomal RNA, 482 nt
Filed under: uncultured bacterium
Lineage: Bacteria
Description: partial 16S ribosomal RNA
Rfam family: Bacterial small subunit ribosomal RNA
Source: RNAcentral
GACGAACGCUGGCGGCGUGCUUAACACAUGCAAGUCGAACGAUGAAGAAGAGACACGCGAACUUCGGUUCAAAUUUCACUUCGGAUUAGUGGCAGACGGGUGAGUAACGCGUGAGCAACCUACCUCUUACAAAGGGAUAGCCUCGGGAAACCGUGAUUAAUACCAUAUGACACAUUCAUAAGGCAUCUUAAGAAUGUUAAAGCUACGGCGGUAAGAGAUGGGCUCGCGUCCCAUUAGCUAGUUGGUGAGGUAACGGCCCACCAAGGCGACGAUGGGUAACCGGGCUGAGAGGGUGAACGGUCACAGUGGAACUGAGACACGGUCCAAACUCCUACGGGAGGCAGCAGUGGGGAAUAUUGCACAAUGGAGGGAACUCUGAUGCAGCGACGCCGCGUGAGCGAUGAAGGAAUUCGUUUCGUAAAGCUCUGUUCUAUGGGAAGAAAAGGACUGUACCAUAGGAGAAAGCCCCGGCUAAAUACGUG